Transfer RNA from Pelodiscus sinensis (Chinese soft-shelled turtle), 74 nucleotides. It matches the Rfam family "tRNA". Rfam says of the family: Transfer RNA (tRNA) molecules are approximately 80 nucleotides in length. The record is from Rfam. Lineage: Eukaryota; Metazoa; Chordata; Testudines; Trionychidae.
GGUGCUAUGGCUUAGCUGGCUAAAGCACUUGCUUUGUCAACAGGAGAUCCUGGAUUCAAUUCCCCCUGGUGCCU